This 253-nucleotide ribosomal RNA is filed under the name uncultured bacterium. Its description in RNAcentral is "partial 16S ribosomal RNA". It matches the Rfam family "Bacterial small subunit ribosomal RNA", at positions 524 to 776 of the family's 1533-position model. The record is from RNAcentral.
UACGUAGGGUGCAAGCGUUGUCCGGAAUUAUUGGGCGUAAAGAGCUCGUAGGCGGUUUGUCGCGUCUGCUGUGAAAACGCGAGGCUCAACCUCGCGCCUGCAGUGGGUACGGGCAGACUAGAGUGCGGUAGGGGAGAUUGGAAUUCCUGGUGUAGCGGUGGAAUGCGCAGAUAUCAGGAGGAACACCGAUGGCGAAGGCAGGUCUCUGGGCUGUAACUGACGCUGAGGAGCGAAAGCAUGGGGAGCGAACAGG